RNAcentral lists this ribosomal RNA (253 nucleotides) under uncultured bacterium. RNAcentral's name for it is "partial 16S ribosomal RNA". It matches the Rfam family "Bacterial small subunit ribosomal RNA", at positions 524 to 776 of the family's 1533-position model. The record is from RNAcentral.
UACGAAGGGGGCUAGCGUUGCUCGGAAUCACUGGGCGUAAAGGGUGCGUAGGCGGGUCUUUAAGUCAUGGGUGAAAUCCUGGAGCUCAACUCCAGAACUGCCUUUGAUACUGAGGAUCUUGAGUUCGGGAGAGGUGAGUGGAACUGCGAGUGUAGAGGUGAAAUUCGUAGAUAUUCGCAAGAACACCAGUGGCGAAGGCGGCUCACUGGCCCGGUACUGACGCUGAGGUGCGAAAGCGUGGGGAGCAAACAGG